This 497-nucleotide ribosomal RNA is filed under the name uncultured bacterium. Its description in RNAcentral is "partial 16S ribosomal RNA". It matches the Rfam family "Bacterial small subunit ribosomal RNA", at positions 28 to 507 of the family's 1533-position model. The record is from RNAcentral.
GAUGAACGCUGGCGGCGUGCCUAAUACAUGCAAGUCGAGCGAACAGACGAGGAGCUUGCUCCUCUGACGUUAGCGGCGGACGGGUGAGUAACACGUGGAUAACCUACCUAUAAGACUGGGAUAACUUCGGGAAACCGGAGCUAAUACCGGAUAAUAUAUUGAACCGCAUGGUUCAAUAGUGAAGGACGGUUUUGCUGUCACUUAUAGAUGGAUCCGCGCCGCAUUAGCUAGUUGGUAAGGUAACGGCUUACCAAGGCGACGAUGCGUAGCCGACCUGAGAGGGUGAUCGGCCACACUGGAACUGAGACACGGUCCAGACUCCUACGGGAGGCAGCAGUAGGGAAUCUUCCGCAAUGGGCGAAAGCUUGACGGAGCAACGCCGCGUGAGUGAUGAAGGUCUUCGGAUCGUAAAACUCUGUUAUUAGGGAAGAACAAAUGUGUAAGUAACUAUGCACGUCUUGACGGUACCUAAUCAGAAAGCCACGGCUAACUACGUG